AACUUUUCACUUCUUUUAUUUGCUAAAAUAGUCGCAUCCAUAUACGUGAAAAGAUUUGACCAUAAUGCAUUCAUUCAUUGUGGCUCUUGCCAUCUCGUGGCAUCCAGGAUCCUGGCUGAAAGGUUUUACCAGUGCUGCUGGGAGCCACUGAGGGUUUUUCCUUUCCGAAGUAUGGAGCAGAGGCACGGCCUUUAAUUUGAGUUUGAACUGGUGGAGGCAGGAGUUCCUCACUGGUCUCUUUACUAAGGAGUUUUUCUUUUUCAUAAAAAUCUUGGCUUUUUAUUUUGAUUUCUUCUCUGUGUUUUUCAUUCUUUAGUAUUUCCUCCAUAGUAGGUGGAGUCUUUCUUGUUCUUCUAAUCCAAGCUUCCCAUUCUUUCUUGUUCUGCAGGAUGUAGUAGUAUUUGUUCCCGAAUUGGUCCGUGCCCACGUGCUCCUUCACUUCCCUUGACAGCGAUCUCCACAAGGCGCGGAACAAAUCCUGAGACCAACCCAUGCCGUCCACUCAGUUUCCAGCGCUGCCAGCAGUGGGACCCGCAGUAGGGGUAAUGCUCCAGCCGCCGACCCAGCCCACCGAGGCGAGAAGUCAG
Molecule: long non-coding RNA, 587 nt
Filed under: Homo sapiens (human)
Lineage: Eukaryota; Metazoa; Chordata; Mammalia; Primates; Hominidae
Description: HSALNT0028458
Source: RNAcentral